This 468-nucleotide ribosomal RNA is filed under the name uncultured bacterium. Its description in RNAcentral is "partial 16S ribosomal RNA". It matches the Rfam family "Bacterial small subunit ribosomal RNA", at positions 28 to 507 of the family's 1533-position model. The record is from RNAcentral.
GACGAACGCUGGCGGCGUGCUUAACACAUGCAAGUCGAACGGAAAGGCCCUGCUUUUGUGGGGUGCUCGAGUGGCGAACGGGUGAGUAACACGUGAGUAACCUGCCCUUGACUUUGGGAUAACUUCAGGAAACUGGGGCUAAUACCGGAUAGGAGCUCCUGCUGCAUGGUGGGGGUUGGAAAGUUUCGGCGGUUGGGGAUGGACUCGCGGCUUAUCAGCUUGUUGGUGGGGUAGUGGCUUACCAAGGCUUUGACGGGUAGCCGGCCUGAGAGGGUGACCGGCCACAUUGGGACUGAGAUACGGCCCAGACUCCUACGGGAGGCAGCAGAGGGGAAUAUUGCACAAGGGGCGGAAGCCUGAUGCAGCAACGCCGCGUGCGGGAUGACGGCCUUCGGGUUGUAAACCGCGUUCGCCUGUGACGAAGCGUGAGUGACGGUAAUGGGUAAAGAAGCACCGGCUAACUACGUG